Molecule: non-coding RNA, 337 nt
Organism: Pelobates cultripes (western spadefoot toad)
Lineage: Eukaryota; Metazoa; Chordata; Amphibia; Anura; Pelobatidae
Source: the annotation of a GenBank genome assembly
UUCCAACUACCUACUCUUGCAACUCCACAUGAUGUGCAACCAGAGAACUUGUUACACUGUACCCUGUGGUUCAAAGACAACCAAGGCCCUGAUGUGGAUUAUAAAGAAGAACUACUUCAGCUUGUGGAAAUUCACAUCACAUUGACAGACUUGCUAUGGGACACCAGAGGCAACAUGGUCCUACUGGUUCACCUCCCAACAGAGGUAUCUCAUCUCUACCGUCACUGGGAAACAGCUGUCCCACAUAUAUCCCUCACCAAGUCUCCUGACCUCUCAUGGAAAGAUCUAUGCCCAAUGACCAAAUCCUGGAGCGCAAUAACCCAAGAACAACUUGAAU